UACGUAGGGGGCGAGCGUUGUCCGAAGUUACUGGGCGUAAAGCGCGCGUAGGCGGUCGCUUAAGUGACUGGUGAAAUCCCCGAGCUCAACUCGGGAGGGUCUGGUCAUACUGGGCGACUGGAGUGCGGGAGAGGUGAGCGGAACUCCUGGUGUAGCGGUGAUAUGCGUAGAGAUCAGGAAGAACACCCGUAGCGAAGGCGGCUCACUGGACCGUAACUGACGCUGAGGCGCGAAAGCCAGGGGAG
This 245-nucleotide ribosomal RNA is filed under the name uncultured bacterium. RNAcentral's name for it is "partial 16S ribosomal RNA". It matches the Rfam family "Bacterial small subunit ribosomal RNA", at positions 524 to 768 of the family's 1533-position model. The record is from RNAcentral.